This is a non-coding RNA of Schistosoma rodhaini, 45 nucleotides long. The record is from Rfam. NCBI's taxonomy places the organism in Eukaryota, Metazoa, Platyhelminthes, Trematoda, Strigeidida, Schistosomatidae.
AUUCAACUGACGAGUCCUAAAUAGGUCGAAACGCACAUCCUGGAU